This 479-nucleotide ribosomal RNA is filed under the name uncultured organism. Its description in RNAcentral is "partial 16S ribosomal RNA". It matches the Rfam family "Bacterial small subunit ribosomal RNA", at positions 330 to 801 of the family's 1533-position model. The record is from RNAcentral.
CGUACACUCCUGCGGGAGGCAGCAGUAGGGAAUCUUCCACAAUGGGUGCAAACCUGAUGGAGCAAUGCCGCGUGAGUGAAGAAGGUCUUCGGAUCGUAAAGCUCUGUUGUUAGAGAAGAACACGUGCUAGGUAACUACUAGCGCCUUGACGGUAUCUAACCAGAAAGUCACGGCUAACUACGUGCCAGCAGCCGCGGUAAUACGUAGGUGACAAGCGUUGUCCGGAUUUAUUGGGCGUAAAGGGAGCGCAGGCGGUCUGUUUAGUCUAAUGUGAAAGCCCACGGCUUAACCGUGGAACGGCAUUGGAAACUGACAGACUUGAAUGUAGAAGAGGAAAAUGGAAUUCCAAGUGUAGCGGUGGAAUGCGUAGAUAUUUGGAGGAACACCAGUGGCGAAGGCGAUUUUCUGGUCUAACAUUGACGCUGAGGCUCGAAAGCGUGGGGAGCGAACAGGAUUAGAUACCCUGGUAGUCCCAUGAU